GGGAGCUUGGCUCAGUCGGAAGAGCGCAGGUCUCAUACUAUCGUAUGACCCGGUGCCCUCAAGCACCAGGAUAUCCUGAGGUCGUGAGUUCGAGCCUCACAGUUCCCA
The sequence is a transfer RNA, 108 nucleotides long. It matches the Rfam family "tRNA". Rfam says of the family: Transfer RNA (tRNA) molecules are approximately 80 nucleotides in length. Their secondary structure includes four short double-helical elements and three loops (D, anti-codon, and T loops). Further hydrogen bonds mediate the characteristic L-shaped molecular structure. tRNAs have two regions of fundamental functional importance: the anti-codon, which is responsible for specific mRNA codon recognition, and the 3' end, to which the tRNAs corresponding amino acid is attached (by aminoacyl-tRNA synthetases). tRNAs cope with the degeneracy of the genetic code in two manners: having more than one tRNA (with a specific anti-codon) for a particular amino acid; and 'wobble' base-pairing, i.e. permitting non-standard base-pairing at the 3rd anti-codon position. The record is from Rfam.